Molecule: ribosomal RNA, 2187 nt
Filed under: bioreactor metagenome
Description: bacterial LSU rRNA
Rfam family: Bacterial large subunit ribosomal RNA
Source: RNAcentral
ACUGUAAGAGGCGAUGAAGGACGUACUAGACUGCGAUAAGUCUUGGGGAGCUGUCAAGAAGCUUUGAUCCAGGAAUUUCCGAAUGGGACAACCCAGCAUAUGGAGACAUAUGUUACCAGAAAUGGAGCUAACCCGGUGAAGUGAAACAUCUCAGUAACCGGAGGAAGAGAAAUCAAAUGAGAUUCCCAUAGUAGCGGCGAGCGAACUGGGAUUAGGACAAACCCUAUGCUUGCAUAGGGGGUUGUAGGACCAAGAUGUGAGAUCAAAGAAGAUAGAUGAAAUAGUUGGAAAGCUAUAGUAUAAAGGGUGAUACUCCCGUAAUCGAAAUCUUCAAUGACUCUAUUGGUAUCCUGAGUAGGUCGGAACACGUGAUAUUUUGACUGAAUCUGGGGGGACCACCCUCCAAUCCUAAAUACUACUUACAGAUCGAUAGUGAACAAGUACCGUGAGGGAAAGGUGAAAAGUACUCCAGCGAGGAGAGUGAAAUAGAACCUGAAACCAUUAGCUUACAAUCAUUCGGAGCCCUAUGUUUUUAACAGGGUGACGGACUGCCUUUUGCAUAAUGAGCCUGCGAGUUGUGGUGUCUGGCAAGGUUAAGCCAAGUGCGAAGCCGUAGCGAAAGCGAGUCUUAAUAGGGCGACUUAGUCAGAUGCUGCAGACCCGAAACGAAGUGAUCUAUCCAUGAGCAGGUUGAAGCUGGUGUAAGAGCCAGUGGAGGACCGAACCGGUGUGCGUUGAAAAGUGCUCGGAUGACUUGUGGAUAGGGGUGAAAGGCCAAUCAAACUUCGUGAUAGCUGGUUCUCUCCGAAAUAUAUUUAGGUAUAGCCUUGCGUAGUAGCAUAUAGGGGUAGAGCACUGAAUGGGCUAGGGCUGCUUACCGCGGUACCAAACCCUAUCAAACUAUGAAUACUAUAUGUGUAAUCGCAGGAGUCAGGCGUAGGGUGAUAAAAUCCUAUGUCGAGAGGGGAACAACCCAGACUAACAGCUAAGGUCCCAAAGUCAUAUCUAAGUGGAAAACGAUGUGGAGUUACUGUGACAACCAGGAGGUUGGCUUAGAAGCAGCCAUCCUUUAAAGAAAGCGUAACAGCUCACUGGUCUAGUGAUUCUGCGCGGAAAAUAUAACGGGGCUAAGAUGUGCACCGAAGCUUUAGACUUGGAUUUAUCCAAGUGGUAGGAGAGCGUUCUAUUCAGCGUUGAAGAUGUACCGGUAAGGAGCGUUGGAGCGGAUAGAAGUGAGCAUGCAGGCAUGAGUAGCGAUAAUUGAGGUGAGAAUCCUCAACGCCGAAAACCCAAGGUUUCCUACGCGAUGCUCGUCAUCGUAGGGUUAGUCGGGACCUAAGUCGAGUCCGAAAGGGGUAGACGAUGGCAAAUUGAUUAAUAUUUCAAUACCAACAAAUAAGCGCGAUGUGGGGACGCAUAGAGUUAAUCGAGCUCACUGAUGGAAUAGUGGGUCGAAGGACGUAGGUCGUAUCUUAGGCAAAUCCGGGAUACACGAGACCGAGAUCUUACAGGCUCUUGACACUCUUCGGAGAAGAUAGAGAAUCGAUGAUACUGUCGUGCCAAGAAAAGCCACUAAGUAUAUUAUUUGUUGCCCGUACCGUAAACCGACACAGGUGGGUGGGAUGAGUAUUCUAAGGCGCGUGGAAGAACCCUGGUUAAGGAACUCUGCAAACUAGCACCGUAUCUUCGGUAUAAGGUGUGCCUACUUUGGUAUAGAGAUUUACUCUCAAAAGCUAAAGAGGUUGCAACAAAGAGUCCCUCCCGACUGUUUACCAAAAACACAGCACUUUGCUAACACGUAAGUGGAUGUAUAAGGUGUGACGCCUGCCCGGUGCUCGAAGGUUAAUUGAUGAUGUCAGCGUAAGCGAAGCAUUUGAUCGAAGCCCGAGUAAACGGCGGCCGUAACUAUAACGGUCCUAAGGUAGCGAAAUUCCUUGUCGGUUAAAUACCGACCUGCAUGAAUGGCGUAACGAGAUGGGAGCUGUCUCAACCAGGGAUCCAGUGAAAUUGUAGUGGAGGUGAAAAUUCCUCCUACCCGCGGAAAGACGGAAAGACCCCGUGCACCUUUACUACAGCUUGACACUGUAGCUUGGAUAUUCUUGUGCAGGAUAGGUGGGAGGCUUUGAUUCAUAGACGCCAGUUUAUGAUGAGCCAUCCUUGAGAUACCACCCUUGAAUAUUUGAGUUA